Molecule: long non-coding RNA, 3055 nt
Filed under: Homo sapiens (human)
Lineage: Eukaryota; Metazoa; Chordata; Mammalia; Primates; Hominidae
Description: HSALNT0116999
Source: RNAcentral
CCUCCUGCCCCUACCCAAACCACAUAGACUGACUUUACCUCCCCUGCAUCUGAGCCCAAGACUGUCAGGCUUAUGAGAGCUUCCUCCGGGCAGGACUCGGAGGGUUUCAGUUUUACGGUUUGAAAAACAGGAGGAUAUUAGGAGAGGCUUUUCUUUCAGCAGGGACACACUGGAGCGACUGGGCAGAUGACCGAAAUGAAGAGGUGGGGAGGAGGCCAGGGUCGCAGGAGGGCGGAACCCUCAAGCCAACAAUGGCAGGUGCUGGGAAGGGGGCAGAGUCUGAGCCAAGCUGCAAAAGGAAGAAGAGAAGCCUCACCCUCUCCAUAGACAAUGGAGGGAGAAGGAGCUCCUGGGAGAUGUGUGGGGUUAGGGGAAUGAGGGUGAUCCUGCCUGAAAGACUGAGGAGCCCCAAAGGUGUGGAGUGGGUGAGGUAGGGUCGGAGAGGCCUGGACCCAGAGUCAGGAGUGAAGUCAUCUUGGAGAAAACGAGAGGAGGGUGAAAGCUGAGUGUUCCAGCCCCAUCAGAUGGUCCCCACCGGACUCUUGAAGUGGAGAUUACAAAUUACAAGUGACAUGAAUGGACAUAAUUUUCUACCGUUUCUCCAAGAAUGCUCACCUGGAGAGGUGCAAAAACAGCAGGAAGGGGUAUGGGGUUCAACUCAGUGUUGGACUUUGCCCAACAGGGCUCAUGGAGAACACCGUGAUCCAGUGAGGACUUCUGAUAAGCUGCGGGCAGCAGCCCGAGUGGGAGGAAGUCCGGGUGGCGUGGUGGACACACGGAAGGCAGCUCACUGCUCACGGUCUAUGUGAUCGUGAAACUGAAGGGUCAUCUCUUAGGGCGGCUGAUUUGGAAGGAGCAGGAGCUUGGGGUGAGAUGCACAGAUUGGUGUCCUUGGAGGCACAAAAGUCCAGAGAACAUGAAAAAUAGUAUGCUCAAUGCAAAUGUAUCAGAUGACGCUUCCAUGUCACCAUCAGAAUAUGAAAAAUAGAAAUCUUAGAAGAAGAGUUUUUAUUAACUAACAGGUAUAAUUAAAGACAAUGGAAAUAAGCAUAUUAAGAAGAAAAUAUAUUCAUUUAAUUGUGAAGAAGAUCUUCAUUUGAUGUCAGCUGUGAGGUCUGGACAAUCCUUUGUUGAAUCCAAGAUUUCUGAAAUGGUGUCCAUUAUGACUUCAUUUAAUGCAAGUAAUUAAUAUUUGUCAAAAAUAUACCCUAUGGUAUCUAGAAGAAUAUACUUUCUAAAUAUUGGCAUGUGUAUUCUCAAAAGAAGAAAAAGCUGGUAAGACAGUGAUGUGUUUAUUCACAUCAAACCUUCAAGCAAAGAAACUCUCAGCAGUCCCUAUGGAUCAAUCGUGCAUUACAGCUCAGCUCCACCAACACACUGCAAACAACUAAGACUCAAGGGAGCAAACAAAAACAGCGAGUUCUAGGAAUGGUUGAUUUGGGGUAUGAAACAAAGGUGCUGUUGCUCAAACUCUGGGUGAAGGAAUAAUCCAAGUGGCUGACAAUCAUGGACACUGUUUCUGAGGUCAGAGUGGGGAAUCUGUGACAGUGAGAACAUAAUCUUCCGUGAGUUAAGAGCUGAGGUUGACAGCGGUAAGUCGCCCACCACCUCUCCCUGCUGGACCACGAGGUUAGCGACUUUGAAAAGUUUCCUUGCUGAGGCUUCCAUGAUCUUCUGUUGUUGUUUUUGUUAUUAUCUUGCCUGGGACGUGUCUUGAUAAUGGUAAUUAAUGGCAGGAUACAACUUAUUUCUCAAUACGCUAUUUAAUAGACACAUUUUCUAGGCAAAUAGUAUAGUUGGAAAAGUCAAAAAUAACUGUCACUAAGUCUCGGGGGUGAGGGAAGAGACGAAGUGACACACAUUCUCUUAUAACGAAACCUAUUUAUUAUUAAACAUCUUCGUAGAAUAUACGGAGGUUAUUUUCAUCCAUCCAUUCAAAUGGUAGUUUUUGAGUGUCUUUUUCACAUGAUUAUGAGGUGCUGUGGGGAUAGAAAAUGCUUAAGUUGUAGGCUGUGCGUUAAGGACCUUGUGACAUACGUGUGCAUGCUUAGGAAGGAUUUCCUCCCAGAGAUGCAGGGUUUCUAGUUCAUUCCAAAUUAAACAAUGGCAAGAGUCGUGGGCUCCCUCUCCUUACAGGUUGGAGUAUCAGAAUCAACACGUUCUGCUUUUACAUUUUUCCUCUUUCCCAAACUGGAGAAGGCAUUUAAUGAAGGGCUCAGUGUGUAGCCCAGGGUCGGAACGUCUGGAAGGUCUGAAGAAGCUGUUCAGAUGCAAGGUCGGGGGAAGCCAGUCUUGGGCACGUGCACGCUCCAGGUCACACCUGUCUGCUCGGAGAAGCCAGGACUGACCACUAUUUCCUUCUCACAUUAAAAAACAAUCUAACUACCAAGUCAACCUCCUCACUCCAUCUGAAAACACAUUUAAGAGGCUGAGGCAGGAGAACCCUUUGAACCUGGGAGGCGGAAGUUGCAGUGUGCUGAGAUGGUGCCACUGCACUCCAGCCUGGGCAACAGAGCAAGAUCCCAUCUCAAAAGACAUUACGUAUUUUAUUUUACUUUUAAAAAUCCAUUUCUUUUAUUAUAACAGGGCUCAGUUAAUAAAAUUACUUACCAAAUGAAAAAGACCAUUUUCUUAGAUGAAAAAGCAAGUGAGUUGAUAUAUUUUAAAUAAUAAAACUUACAUCUAUUACAAUACUCAGAGAAUCAUGAAUAUGUACAUUUGAACUAAAACAUUCAGAGCCUUACCUCAGGUCACACUUUCAACGUCUCUAGAAGCAAUAAAAAGACACCUUUCCUCUCAACCACAGUAGCUGCAGGAGAUUGAAAGGCAAUGUAAGAGCAGGCUGGGGACCAUAAAAAUUCCAGCUUUUGCAACAAAGACACAAUCUUUGUACUGAGCAUGAUUUCAACUUUAACAUAAGGAAGCAAAAUAUUUUUUUCUGAAGUUAAACAUUAAUAACAAGAUAUAUAAAUUUUUUUUUCCAUGUAAUGCACACGAAUUGAAUUAACUUUGAAUCAACUUUGUCAGUACUUAGUAAGCAUUCAGAUGUCCAGAG